UACGUAUGGUGCAAGCGUUAUCCGGAUUUACUGGGUGUAAAGGGAGCGUAGACGGCGAUGCAAGCCAGAUGUGAAAGCCCGGGGCUCAACCCCGGGACUGCAUUUGGAACUGUAUAGCUAGAGUGUCGGAGAGGCAGGCGGAGUUCCUAGUGUAGCGGUGAAAUGCGUAGAUAUUAGGAGGAACACCAGUGGCGAAGGCGGCCUGCUGGACGAUGACUGAUGUUGAGGCUCGAAAGCGUGGGGAGCAAACAGG
RNAcentral lists this ribosomal RNA (253 nucleotides) under uncultured bacterium. RNAcentral's name for it is "partial 16S ribosomal RNA". It matches the Rfam family "Bacterial small subunit ribosomal RNA", at positions 524 to 776 of the family's 1533-position model. The record is from RNAcentral.